ACAAGCCAGCGCCGUGGAGCUGUCUCUUUUUCAUUUCUCAGCCUCACUGGCCAUUCCAGUCCUCAAGAAAUAUUUGCUUGAUGUGACUUCUUGGAACCAAAUGUUGGUACCCAACUGAAAGGGAUGGAGCCCUCCGAACUUGGAAGUUCCGCUGAGGAUGAGGGCGGCCGCCAUUUUGAAACGAACAGACUCCAAAAGCACGCUCCACUGGGCCUGCCCCUGCGAUCUUAAAACAGAUGUCCGUGAAAUGUGACCCAUGAAUAGCAGUUAUCUGGAGAGAGAGCUCUGAAGCUGAUGAAACCAUUAGAGCCACUGAAGGCACCUGGUAAAUGCGAUGCGGGGAGUACAGAAGAGAGAAUCAGAAACACACCGGCACUCUCAUUCCCAUGAGGCCACUUACAGUGGGUAAAACGUCGCUUGAGAAGAGCGGCAGCUCCAGCCUGAAUGAGAAGCACGUCCUCCUGGGAGUUACGUCAGCAGCCUGACCUUCCAUCUUCCUCCUCUAAAGAAGCGUCCCUGCCACCCUGAGCACGAAGCCCUCGGGUUCCUAAAGGCCGAGGCGCUUCUUCUCAUUUACUUCCCUUGAGGAAGAAAGACCAGCCCAUCCACCCUCAUUUCCCACCGAAGGGCAUCGCAAAUAAAGUUUGCCCACGCAACCAGGCCACCACCAUUAAUUUCUCUCUGCCCUGCUCUUACAUUCUCCUCAAGGUUUUCAGUCCCCUAGAGAGGCUCCCUUCCCUCUUUUCUUUCCUUCCUCCAGCCCCCCUUUUCACCUCCCUCCACCAUUGUUUGAGGUUAAGAAGCAUGCUACGGUGUUCUAUAAAUCACUUGGCAAGAGUAGACGACAAAAGCAAAAUAUAAUUCAGAUUAAAGUCAUCCUCCCGCUGAAAUGAUAGUUUCUUAAAUAAAUGGCGAUGCUGCCUAUCAAUCUUGCUGGCAA
RNAcentral lists this long non-coding RNA (940 nucleotides) under Homo sapiens (human). Its description in RNAcentral is "uncharacterized LOC105379379, transcript variant 2 (LOC105379379)". Lineage: Eukaryota; Metazoa; Chordata; Mammalia; Primates; Hominidae. The record is from RNAcentral.